Non-coding RNA from Pan troglodytes (chimpanzee), 148 nucleotides. It matches the Rfam family "Metazoan signal recognition particle RNA". From Rfam's summary of the family: The signal recognition particle (SRP) is a universally conserved ribonucleoprotein. It is involved in the co-translational targeting of proteins to membranes. NCBI's taxonomy places the organism in Eukaryota, Metazoa, Chordata, Mammalia, Primates, Hominidae. The record is from Rfam.
GCUGGGCGUGGUGGUGGGCGCCUAGAGUCCCCGCUACUCGGGAGGCUGAGGCAGGGGAAUCACUUGAACCCAGGAGGCAGAGGUUGCAGUGAGCUGAGAUUGUGCCACUGCACCCCUGCCUGGGUGACAGAGUGAGACCCUGUCUCAA